Molecule: ribosomal RNA, 606 nt
Filed under: Triticum aestivum (bread wheat)
Lineage: Eukaryota; Viridiplantae; Streptophyta; Magnoliopsida; Poales; Poaceae
Description: partial small subunit ribosomal RNA
Source: RNAcentral
AUGAAGAACUAUUUCGUGGAGAAUCCCACAUACCCGGAGUCGUAUUUUCGUCGCCGGUUUAGGAUGAGCACCGAGUUGUUCAGGCGCAUUGCAGAGAAACUAGCGAGCCAUGACCGGUUUUUCCAGCAAAGGAGGAAUGCCGCCGGAGAGCUCGGGCAUAGCACUUUUUUGAAGGUGACAGCCGCUUUGCGUAUGUUGGCAUACGGUAUCCCGGCUGAUCUAGUUGAUGAUCAUUUGGCUAUGAGUGAGAGCCAAGCCAUCAUGUGUGUCAAGCGCUUUGCAGUGGGAAUUGUGCAAGUGUUUGGCGAGGAGUAUUUGAGAGCUCCCACUGCUGAAGACGCCGCAAGGCUAUUGGCGAUGAACAAAGCGCGCGGCUUUCCUGGCAUGCUUGGCUCAAUAGAUUGCAUGCAUUGGAGUUGGAAGAAUUGUCCAAAGGCAUGGCAUGGGCAAUUCCACGGCCAAAAAAAGGGUUCCACUAUAAUCCUUGAAGCGGUGGCCGAUCAGGAGACUUGGAUUUGGCAUGCAUUCUUUGGAAUGUCUGGAUCUUUGAAUGAUAUCAAUGUUCUCAAUGCUGGAAUUUUGUCCAUUUUGGGCCUAGCCCAGUAG